ACGAAGGUCCCAAGCGUUAUCCGGAUUUAUUGGGUUUAAAGGGUGCGUAGGCGGCUUUUUAAGUCAGUGGUGAAAGCCUGAAGCUCAACUUCAGAAUUGCCAUUGAUACUGAAGAGCUUGAGUAUGGUUGAGGUGGGCGGAAUGUGUCAUGUAGCGGUGAAAUGCUUAGAUAUGACACAGAACACCGAUUGCGAAGGCAGCUCACUAAGCCAUAACUGACGCUGAUGCACGAAAGCGUGGGGAGCAAACAGGAUUAGAUACCCUGGUAGUCCACGCCCUAAACGAUGAUCACUCGAUGUGUGCGAUAUACUGUACGCGUCUAAGCGAAAGCAUUAAGUGAUCCACCUGGGGAGUACGACCGCAAGGUUG
RNAcentral lists this ribosomal RNA (369 nucleotides) under uncultured bacterium. Its description in RNAcentral is "bacterial SSU rRNA". It matches the Rfam family "Bacterial small subunit ribosomal RNA", at positions 525 to 896 of the family's 1533-position model. The record is from RNAcentral.